AUACAGAAGAAACUUUAAAUAUAAUUAAGAUAGCAGCAGAGGAACAUGGAAGAGAGGAACAUAGGUUUAUAAAAUAUAUUGUGCAAAAGAGCUUACUGCACUUAUAAGAAAUGAGAGAGCUUUAUAGGGGAUGAUCACACAGCCUUGAAGAAUGCAUUAGUAAUAACAGAUAACAAGGAUGAGAAGAUAUUUGAGGAAAUAACAGCAAGUGCAACAUCAUGGAGAUGAGAGAGAAAAUGGUAUCAGGACAAAAAGCAGUUCGGGCUUUUGCAAUCACCAUAGGAAGAAGAUUCCACAGUAGCCUGUGAUUCCAGAAGAAUGAAAGACAUGUGGAGCAGCUAUGGACCAAGUUAACUAGAAGCCAACUUAGAUUAGCCAUUCUUCAGCCACAGACAUGCAGCACGUGGUUGGGUGCAGCUUGCAAUCACAAAUCAAAACGGAAGAGGAAGAGGACAACUGUAUAAAGCAGCGUGAUUUAAGUUGAUCUGUGGGACAAAGAGUUAAGCCACAAAUAUUUGGGGAGAGAGGGUUUUCAACGUAUAAGAUCAUGAUAUCUGCAAACAGAGACAAAUUGACUUCCUCCUUCCAAAUUUGGAUGAGUAAAGAGACAACCUACAGAAUGAGAAGAAAUAUUUGCAAAUGAUAUAUCUGACAAUUGGUUAAUAUUCAGACUAUAUAAGGAAUUUAAACAAUUCAGUGGAAACAAAAGCCAAAUAAUAUGAUUUUAAAGUGAGCAAAAGGCCUUGAUGGACAUUUCUCAAAAGAAGACAUACAAAUGGACAUGAGUAUAUGAACAAAUGUACAACAUCACUAAUCAUCAGGAAAUUGCAAAUUAAACCAUAAUGAAAAACCACCUCACUCCAAUUACAAUGGCUAUUAUUAAAAAGACAAAAGAAAACAAGUGUUGACGAUAUGAAGAAAAGACAACUCCUGUAUACUAUUGGUGGGAAUGUAAAUUAGUAUACCAAUUAUAGAAAAUAGCAUGGAGAUUUCUCAAAAGAUUAAAAACAGAACUAAUACAUGAACCAGGAAUUCCACUGCUGGAUAUAUAUAUACAAAGGAAAUGAAAUUAGUAUAUUGGAGCAAUGUCUGUAUUCCCAUGUUUAUUGCAGCACUGUUUACAAUAGCCAAGAUGUUGAAUCAGCCUAAGUGUCCAACAGCAGAUGAGUGGAUAAAGAAAAUGUAGUAUAUAUACACAAUUGAAAACUAUUCAGCCAUUAAAAGAAUAAAAUCCCAUCUUUGUGACAGCAAAGAUGAACCUGGAGGACAUCGUGUUAAGUCAAACAAGCCAGAGACAGAAAGACAAAUACUGCAUGAUCUCAUUUAUGUGUGAAACUUUUUUUAAAAGUUGAUAUCAUGUAAGCAGAGACUAGAAAAUGAUUACCAGAGACUGGGGAGGGAGGAGAAAGGGAGGAUGGAAAAAGGUUGGUCAUUGGGUACAAAACUAAAAUUAGAUAUGAAGAAUACAUUCUUGUGUUCUAUUGCUCAGUAGGAUGACUAUAGUUAACAGAAAAAUAUUGUAUAUUACAAACAGAAGAGAGGAUUUUGAAUGUUCUCACCAGAAAGAAAUGAUACAUGCAUGAAGUGAUGAAUAUUCUAAAAAUGCAGAUUGAACCAGCAUGCAAUAUAUAUGCACUAAAACAUCAAAUUGUACCCCAUAACAUGCACACUUACAAUGUGUCAAUUCUUUAAAAAGUGUAUUUUCUAAUGUAAAUAUUAGCCAUAGGAAUUACUCAAACCUCCUUGAGUUUGUGACAAAUAUAUAAAUCUUUAUUAAUGUAAAUUAUUAAAACUAAACAUUCUUGUUUUCUCAUGCAUGUCAUUUUAUAUUUCAGUAACUUACAAUAAUGCUGUCUAUCUGACAGUUUAUGUUUUAAAGCUGUGAUAAAUGUAAAGGCUAAGUACAAAAAAUUAUGCAACGUUGUAACAAAGUUUUUAUGUGGUGCUUUACUGGUACCAAAAAUUGGUAAUAAA
Homo sapiens (human) is the source of this 1974-nucleotide long non-coding RNA. The record is from Ensembl. Lineage: Eukaryota; Metazoa; Chordata; Mammalia; Primates; Hominidae.